CACGUGGGUAACCUGCCUGUAAGACUGGGAUAACUCCGGGAAACCGGAGCUAAUACCGGAUAGUUCCUUGAACCGCAUGGUUCAAGGAUGAAAGACGGUUUCGGCUGUCACUUACAGAUGGACCCGCGGCGCAUUAGCUAGUUGGUGGGGUAAUGGCUCACCAAGGCGACGAUGCGUAGCCGACCUGAGAGGGUGAUCGGCCACACUGGGACUGAGACACGGCCCAGACUCCUACGGGAGGCAGCAGUAGGGAAUCUUCCGCAAUGGACGAAAGUCUGACGGAGCAACGCCGCGUGAGUGAUGAAGGUUUUCGGAUCGUAAAGCUCUGUUGUUAGGGAAGAACAAGUGCGAGAGUAACUGCUCGCACCUUGACGGUACCUAACCAGAAAGCCACGGCUAACUACGUGCCAGCAGCCGCGGUAAUACGUAGGUGGCAAGCGUUGUCCGGAAUUAUUGGGCGUAAAGGGCUCGCAGGCGGUUUCUUAAGUCUGAUGUGAAAGCCCCCGGCUCAACCGGGGAGGGUCAUUGGAAACUGGGAAACUUGAGUGCAGAAGAGGAGAGUGGAAUUCCACGUGUAGCGGUGAAAUGCGUAGAGAUGUGGAGGAACACCAGUGGCGAAGGCGACUCUCUGGUCUGUAACUGACGCUGAGGAGCGAAAGCGUGGGGAGCGAACAGGAUUAGAUACCCUGGUAGUCCACGCCGUAAACGAUGAGUGCUAAGUGUUAGGGGGUUUCCGCCCCUUAGUGCUGCAGCUAACGCAUUAAGCACUCCGCCUGGGGAGUACGGUCGCAAGACUGAAACUCAAAGGAAUUGACGGGGGCCCGCACAAGCGGUGGAGCAUGUGGUUUAAUUCGAAGCAACGCGAAGAACCUUACCAGGUCUUGACAUCCUCUGACAACCCUAGAGAUAGGGCUUUCCCUUCGGGGACAGAGUGACAGGUGGUGCAUGGUUGUCGUCAGCUCGUGUCGUGAGAUGUUGGGUUAAGUCCCGCAACGAGCGCAACCCUUGAUCUUAGUUGCCAGCAUUCAGUUGGGCACUCUAAGGUGACUGCCGGUGACAAACCGGAGGAAGGUGGGGAUGACGUCAAAUCAUCAUGCCCCUUAUGACCUGGGCUACACACGUGCUACAAUGGACAGAACAAAGGGCUGCAAGACCGCAAAGUUUAGCCAAUCCCAUAAAUCUGUUCUCAGUUCGGAUCGCAGUCUGCAACUCGACUGCGUGAAGCUGGAAUCGCUAGUAAUUGCGGAUCAGCAUGCCGCGGGAAUACGUUCCCGGGCCUUGUACACACCGCCC
Molecule: ribosomal RNA, 1293 nt
Filed under: Bacillus safensis
Lineage: Bacteria; Bacillati; Bacillota; Bacilli; Caryophanales; Bacillaceae
Description: bacterial SSU rRNA
Rfam family: Bacterial small subunit ribosomal RNA
Source: RNAcentral